CAAUAGCGUAUAUUAAAGUUGUUGCGGUUAAAAAGCUCGUAGUUGGAUUUCUGUUGAGGACGACCGGUCCGCACUAUGUGCGUGUAUCUGGUUCGGCCUUGGCAUCCUUCUGGGGAACGGUGCUGCGCUUGAUUGCGUGGUCCGGUAUUCAGAACUUUUACUUUGAGGAAAUUAGAGUGUUUACGGCAGGCAAUCGCCUUGAAUACAUUAGCAUGGAAUAAUACUAUAGGACCUUGGUUCUAUUUUGUUGGUUUCUAGAACUAAGGUAAUGAUUAAUAGGGAUAAUUGGGGGCAUUCGUAUUAACACGUCAGAGGUGAAAUUCUUGGAUUGUGUUACGACGAACUACUGCGAAAGCAUUUGCCAAGGAUGUUUUCAUUG
RNAcentral lists this ribosomal RNA (379 nucleotides) under uncultured eukaryote. RNAcentral's name for it is "partial 18S ribosomal RNA". It matches the Rfam family "Eukaryotic small subunit ribosomal RNA", at positions 592 to 975 of the family's 1831-position model. The record is from RNAcentral.